This 497-nucleotide ribosomal RNA is filed under the name Oceanicola sp. Ar-124. RNAcentral describes it as "bacterial SSU rRNA". It matches the Rfam family "Bacterial small subunit ribosomal RNA", at positions 85 to 617 of the family's 1533-position model. Lineage: Bacteria; Pseudomonadati; Pseudomonadota; Alphaproteobacteria; Rhodobacterales; Roseobacteraceae. The record is from RNAcentral.
UUCAGGUCUAGCGGCGGACGGGUGAGUAACGCGUGGGAAUGUGCCCUUCUCUACGGAAUAGUCCCGGGAAACUGGGUUUAAUACCGUAUACGCCCUUCGGGGGAAAGAUUUAUCGGAGAAGGAUCAGCCCGCGUCUGAUUAGGUAGUUGGUGGGGUAAUGGCCUACCAAGCCUACGAUCAGUAGCUGGUUUUAGAGGAUGAUCAGCCACACUGGGACUGAGACACGGCCCAGACUCCUACGGGAGGCAGCAGUGGGGAAUCUUAGACAAUGGGCGCAAGCCUGAUCUAGCCAUGCCGCGUGAGUGAUGAAGGCCUUAGGGUCGUAAAACUCUUUCGCCAGGGAUGAUAAUGACAGUACCUGGUAAAGAAGCCCCGGCUAACUCCGUGCCAGCAGCCGCGGUAAUACGGAGGGGGCUAGCGUUGUUCGGAAUUACUGGGCGUAAAGCGCGCGUAGGCGGACUAUUAAGUCAGGGGUGAAAUCCCGGGGCUCAACCCCG